Molecule: ribosomal RNA, 370 nt
Filed under: uncultured organism
Description: partial 16S ribosomal RNA
Rfam family: Bacterial small subunit ribosomal RNA
Source: RNAcentral
GUAGGGUGCAAGCGUUAAUCGGAAUUACUGGGCGUAAAGCGUGCGCAGGCGGUUGUGCAAGACAGAUGUGAAAUCCCCGGGCUCAACCUGGGAAUUGCAUUUGUGACUGUACGGCUAGAGUGUGUCAGAGGGGGGUAGAAUUCCACGUGUAGCAGUGAAAUGCGUAGAGAUGUGGAGGAAUACCGAUGGCGAAGGCAGCCCCCUGGGAUAACACUGACGCUCAUGCACGAAAGCGUGGGGAGCAAACAGGAUUAGAUACCCUGGUAGUCCCACGUCCUAAACGAUGUCAACUAGUUGUCGGGUCUUAAUUGACUUGGUAACGCAGCUAACGCGUGAAGUUGACCGCCUGGGGAGUACGGUCGCAAGAUUA